Molecule: ribosomal RNA, 387 nt
Filed under: uncultured euryarchaeote
Lineage: Archaea; Methanobacteriati; Methanobacteriota
Description: bacterial SSU rRNA
Rfam family: Archaeal small subunit ribosomal RNA
Source: RNAcentral
UCGGGAAAACUCCGCAAUGCACGCAAGUGUGACGGGGGAAUCCUCAGUGCUUAGGCAAUGCCUAGGCUUUUGCCAAGAGCAAAUAUCUUGGCGAAUAAGUGGUGGGCAAGACUGGUGCCAGCCGCCGCGGUAACCCCAGCGCCACAAGUGGGAAUCGCUUUUAUUGGGUCUAAAGCAUCCGUAGCCGGCUCGUUAAAUGCUCUGUGAAAUCGCUGCGCUCAACGUAGCGACGGGCAGAGUAGACUGGCGAGCUUGGGACCGGGAGAGGCGUUCGGUAUUCUAUGGGGAGCGGUAAAAUGUGAUAAUCCAUAGAGGACCACCAAUGGCGAAGGCAGAACGCUAGCACGGAUCCGACGGUGAGGGAUGAAAGCUAGGGGAGCGAUUCGG